GCUUGUGCGCCGAGAGGUGCCCGUCAGGUCGCGGGACAGCUGUGCGGCGCGCGGAGCGGGGGGGGCGGCGGGGGGGUGGGGGGUCUCUUCGUGCGCGUCACUCGUUCAUGGAACGGGCGGUGUGUGCCGGGCACGGGGCCAGCCUGGGGACGCGGUGCCCGGGAGUCGGGCGCUGAAGCGGCCCCCGGGGUCUUGGCUUCUUGGAGGGACAGACGCGAAGUCGAUAAGGACACUGGUCUCGAUGCGUUUUUGGAGACCAAGCGUGGUGAUUCGGAGCGUGGACUCUGGAGCCAGACUCUGUCAGAUGGGUCCUAGCUCUGCCACCUACGGGCUGUGUGAACUUGGGCAAGUUACCGUAC
Molecule: long non-coding RNA, 359 nt
Filed under: Equus caballus (horse)
Lineage: Eukaryota; Metazoa; Chordata; Mammalia; Perissodactyla; Equidae
Description: lncRNA (ENSECAG00000058412.1)
Source: RNAcentral